This 1205-nucleotide ribosomal RNA is filed under the name metagenome. RNAcentral describes it as "bacterial LSU rRNA". It matches the Rfam family "Bacterial large subunit ribosomal RNA", at positions 1705 to 2925 of the family's 2925-position model. The record is from RNAcentral.
UUAAGGAACUCGGCAAAAUGACCCCGUAACUUAGGGAGAAGGGGUGCCUGUCUAUGACAGGCCGCAGAGAAUAGGCCCAAGCGACUGUUUACCAAAAACACAGGUUUCUGCUAAGUCGCAAGACGAUGUAUAGGAGCUGACGCCUGCCCGGUGCUGGAAGGUUAAGGGGAUCUGUUAGAGCAAUCGAAGCAGUGAACUUAAGCCCCAGUAAACGGCGGCCGUAACCAUAACGGUCCUAAGGUAGCGAAAUUCCUUGUCGGGUAAGUUCCGACCCGCACGAAAGGCGUAACGAUUUGGGCACUGUCUCAACAAUAGACUCGGUGAAAUUGUAAUUCCGGUGAAGAUGCCGGGUACCUGCGACAGGACGGAAAGACCCCAUGGAGCUUUACUGUAGCUUGACGUUGGGUCUUGGUACUACAUGUACAGGAUAGGUGGGAGACUAUGAAGCAUGGACGCCAGUCUGUGUGGAGUCAUCCUUGGGAUACCACCCUUGUAGUACUGGGAUCCUAACCAUAGGCCUUGAAUCAGGUCUUGGAACACCGUCAGGUGGGCAGUUUGACUGGGGCGGUCGCCUCCUAAAAAGUAACGGAGGCGCUCAAAGGUUUCCUCAGCACGGUCGGAAAUCGUGCGAAGAGUGUAAAGGCAAAAGGAAGCUUGAUUGCAAGACAUACAGGUCGAGCAAGGACGAAAGUCGGACUUAGUGAUCCGGUGGUACCGCAUGGAAGGGCCAUCGCUCAACGGAUAAAAGCUACCCUGGGGAUAACAGGCUUAUCUCCCCCAAGAGUCCACAUCGACGGGGAGGUUUGGCACCUCGAUGUCGGCUCAUCACAUCCUGGGGCUGUAGUAGGUCCCAAGGGUUGGGCUGUUCGCCCAUUAAAGUGGUACGCGAGCUGGGUUCAGAACGUCGUGAGACAGUUCGGUCCCUAUCCGUCGCAGGCGUAGGAAAUUUGAGAAGACCUGUCCUUAGUACGAGAGGACCGGGAUGGACGUACCUCUGGUGUACCAGUUGUUCUGCCAAGGGCAUGGCUGGGUAGCUAUGUACGGAAUGGAUAAGCGCUGAAAGCAUCUAAGCGCGAAGCCAACUUCAAGAUAAGAUUUCCCACCGUAAGGGUAAGACCCCAGGAAGACUACCUGGUUGAUAGGUCGAAGGUGUAAGUGCAGUAAUGUAUUUAGCUUAUCGAUACUAAUAGGUCGAGGACUGACCU